AACGAACGCUGGCGGCAGGCCUAACACAUGCAAGUCGAGCGAGACCUUCGGGUUUAGCGGCGGACGGGUGAGUAACGCGUGGGAACGUGCCCUCUUCUGCGGAAUAGCCCCGGGAAACUGAGGGUAAUACCGCAUACGCCCUUUUGGGGAAAGAUUUGUCGGAGAAGGAUCGGCCCGCGUUGGAUUAGCUAGUUGGUGGGGUAAUGGCCUACCACGGCUACGAUCCUUAGCUGGUUUGAGAGGAUGAUCAGCCACACUGGGACUGAGACACGGCCCAGACUCCUACGGGAGGCAGCAGUGGGGAAUCUUGGACAAUGGGGGCAAGCCUGAUCUAGCCAUGCCGCGUGAGUGAUGAAGGCCUUAGGGUUGUAAAGCUCUUUCAUCCGGGACGAUAAUGACGGUACCAGCAGAAGAAGCCCCGGCUAACUCCGUG
Molecule: ribosomal RNA, 433 nt
Filed under: uncultured bacterium
Lineage: Bacteria
Description: partial 16S ribosomal RNA
Rfam family: Bacterial small subunit ribosomal RNA
Source: RNAcentral